CUGAAGUUUGGAUCUAAAUUUUGGAUCUAAACACAGCCUUAUAUGAAUUUUUUUUGUAAUUAGUAUUUUCAUUGUUGUUAGAUGAUAAAAUAAGAUUAAUACUUUAUGCGUGACUUAUCUUUUUAAUUUUUUUUAUAAUUUUUUUAAAUAAGACGGACAUUCAAACGUUAGACACGAAAAUC
RNAcentral lists this microRNA precursor (182 nucleotides) under Oryza sativa Indica Group (long-grained rice). RNAcentral's name for it is "MIR812 microRNA precursor family". It matches the Rfam family "MIR812 microRNA precursor family". The record is from Rfam by way of RNAcentral. Lineage: Eukaryota; Viridiplantae; Streptophyta; Magnoliopsida; Poales; Poaceae.